Molecule: long non-coding RNA, 3844 nt
Organism: Vigna unguiculata (cowpea)
Lineage: Eukaryota; Viridiplantae; Streptophyta; Magnoliopsida; Fabales; Fabaceae
Source: RefSeq, a predicted model, not a curated record
CUUAUUCCUACAUUCUACGUCUAACUCUUACAGCAUGACUCUCGCCGCACCGCCGCACCGCCGCACCUGUACUUCAGCGCCGCCGCACUUGGACCUCACCCCGUAUGGUUGCCAAGAAUCCGUUAAGUUUGAGUGCUGAUCCAUAAACGGGCUGUUUCGUUUCACGGUCAAGAAGAAAGUUCCCUGCAAAGGAGAAGAUAGUAAAUCUUGCAUUAAAGACAUACUUGUAAGUUGAUCAAUACUUCUAGAGAAAUGAUGCAAAGCUUUAAUUCUUGUACAAUGUUAUCUGACUGUUUAUUGAAUUCUAACUAUAUCUCAUUCUGAGUAGAACACACCAAAGUUACUGUUUUAUAUAUGUGAUCACAAAUAUAAAACAGUAACUUCUGCAUCUUGGCCUCAUGUUUCUCGUAUCAUUAGCCUUCUCAAAAGACUCUCCUAAUUGGAGUCUUGCAGCCUUGAAAUCUGCUCUCAUCACAUAUAUCAUGUCUCACAAAAUGUUAUAUUUUUGUGUAGCUUGGUUAUUCCUAUAUACACAUGUUAAUGUGAUGUAAAUUCUUAGUGAACAAUCUGUAUCAAUUUCAUAAUUAAUAGAUAUAUGAUGCUAACUAAUAUCUUAAACUUGGUUGGAAAUUAUAUAUUAUAAUUUGACUUGAGGGAUGUAAGUCUACUACUAAUUAUAAGUAGAAGGUAGAGGGAGUUUGAAUCUUAUCCCUAUUCCACACAAUUUUGUUAUUCUGCUUUUAUCAUACAAAAAUUAUUAUUUCUCACCAAGAAAAAAGGAUGUGUAUGGAUACACCAUCGUUUAAAGACAUUUUUAGAGUUAUUAUUGGAGGAGGAUAAAGCAAGUGUUAGUAUAAGAAUUAUGUCUAAACAAAAGGUAUUUUAAUAAUUAUUUUGUCAGGGAUGUGGGAGAGGAAGAAAAGUUUAGAUCCAUUUCCUACCAUAGUGAGAAACUUGCCCUUGCAUUUGCUUUAAUUAGAAAGCCCAAUGGGAUUUCACCGAUACGGAUCAUAAAGAAUAUACGUGUCUGUGAUGACUGCCAUGUAUUUAUGAAGUUUGCAUCAAUUACUAUAGGGCGACCAAUCAUUAUGAGAGAUUCAAACAGGUUUCAUCAUUUCUUUGAUGGGAAGUGUUCUUGCAAGGACAAUUGGUAAAGUCUCAAUCAGAUGUUUAUCUGCUUUGACUGUUUCUAAAAGGAAGGGUGCUAGCAAUGUAAUAUGCACUUUAUCCAUUCUAUAAGAUUUUGAAACUAGGGAGAAAGCCAUGAUACGGUUCAAAACUUCCUAGUAUUAAAGCAGGUGUGUAGCACAAGAAUACUACGUGAGAAGUACAAGUUACAGUAUUACCUCGAUGAAAAUUUCUUGUGACAGCAGUGCAAUUUAAGAUGUUUUGGACUAUGAGACAAGUAUGCUCUUAAUUCAUUGAUCAAUACUUGACAUUGAAUGAGCUGGUUUGAGCUUUGAAUGGAAGUGUCGAAAAAUACUCUUACAAAAGUUGCAGGGAAAUUGGGCCUAUAUAUUGUUUGUAGCAUCUGCUGUUGAAUAUUUUGGUAGAGGCAAUCAAUACCUUGAGGGAUGAACAUAACAGUCAGCACCACCUGAAUGCGAUUGGAUCUUAAAUCUUCAGUUGUCAUCUCUAGUAUCAAUACCUGAAUUCAUUGAUACGCCUGCAUUUAUAAUGUCCUCCGAGGGUUCUAUGCUUUUGACUUUUGCGAUAGGUGUCCUGUCAACUAAGAUGUGGUCUAGGAAGCUCUUUUAGGGUAAGUAAUGUUUAAAAUGGUUUCAAUUUUGAGUAUCAUUCUUAUAUAAUUAUUGGUUCAUUAUUCUUGUGAAAGUUAAAAUGCAUGCUUUGGUCUAGCAUGAUUAUAUGAUGAGGUUUAGGACCCAAUCAAGCCAUAGUAAAUCAAAUUUAGUUCUACAAGAAAUUUAAUCUUACACCAAGUAAAUAAUCUCAUGAUUGUCAUAUGUUAAUAAAUAAUUUUUAUGUAAAUUCUAAUGUAGGGAUUUACUAUGGCUAUAAUUCAGCAACUGGACUUAUAUUAAUGACUUUCUUUGAGGAGUUACUAGAUGCUUCAAGUUUAUGUAGUUUUACACAAUUCAAUGGAUCCUGUUUCUAACAUGAAUGCGUUGGUCUUGCUUCAACAGUUGAUUAUGUAGUUGACGUUAUAUGGUACUCUAGUCUAUCCUAUAUAUGCAACCAAUUGAUUUGCUAUUAAAUGAUGUUUUCAGUUUAUGUUAUAUAUGAGAAAAGUCUGGUAUUUAAAAAUUUAUAGAGAACAGUUUCUUAUUCAAACUAUGAGGUUUAACCAAAUUACAAUAUAGUUAUAUGUCAUAAAAUCACAAUCACAAUCAAUCAAGGAAUUUUGUAGAUUUUCUUCCUAGUCAAAUUGAUGGUUGCUAUGUUGGAGGAUUUUUUUUAAGAGGUGGUGAAAGUGCCUCUGGUGAAGAAUUGGUACUUUUGAUUUUGCUGAGCUCUAUUUGUUACUAUGGUGAGUUCCAUUGAACAAAUUACAUUUGUGACACAAUGGCAACAUUAUUUAACUGUUUCUUUGUGUUUAAUAUGUGUCCUUUAUUGCUUCCCUUUCGGUUGACUGUAAUUAAUCUGUUAGUUUACUCUGCUCUCCUAGCCAUCUCAAUAUAAUACGUGAUAUCUGUUUAAUCUUACUGUAUUCUUGUUUUAAGAAUUAAUUAUUGUGAAGUUCACACAUCUAGGAUUGGCUAUUUUAAUCACUGGAGUGCUUUGACCUUCGGUUUAGCUGCAUGUAGAUAUGUACAUAAAACGGUUUUCUUUUCUUUGCUUUAUAUUAAUUCUGCCCUAGAAGAUUCUUAGUAAGAGAAGAGUGAGAACUGAAGCUAAUUUUAUAAGGAUAUUUUGGAUACUUGAAAUAUAUUCUACCAUUGAAAGGGAAUGAAAAAUAAUCCUAUAUAGUUUAAGUACACAAGUCCGAAACCACAAAGCUGAAACAGUUGAGACUUGAAACCAGAAGCCAUUUUUGUUACAUAUAUAUGUACUUGCAUGCUUGUAUUUCAUUUUUCUUUUUCUGGGCUACCCGGAUUAUGUAUAGUUUACAUACAGAGUUUAACAUUUAUACACAAACAAACAUUUAAGAUGAAUCUUUCUUUUUCAGUUGCAUAUCUUAUAGAUUUGUACAUGUAGAAUAGAUUCAUAAGCUGAGAGCAGCUUUUUGAUUUAAUGCUCUUGCCGACCCAUAAGAAAUACUACUAAUUAAUGCUCUCACACCAAUUUUUUGUACAAUAAAGAAAGAUUAGUCGGUGUUAUUAAUUACAAAUCAUUUUUCUUGAAAAAACUGAUGAUAAUUAAACUUUCUCUAAAGGCUUCAACACGGUGUCUCAGACCAAUCAGUUUUUGAGUAAAUGGUGAUGACUUAUAUCUGCCAAUGAUAAAGCAUAUGUAUGCAUGCCUCUUUUAAAUUACAGGAAAAAGAAACUUCUGAAAGAUGUUUCUAGAUGCCUAUUAUUUAAGGGGGGGGAGAAACAUGCAAAAUAGUUAUCUCUUUCAUCAUCUCCAUUAUGAACAGACAAAAAAACCUACGUUGUUCUCAUAACCUUGUAGUUAACUUGUGUGGGAACACUCCAACAACAAUCCCUUUCAAAGAUUAAUAUAUGUAGCAGCUAAAACCAUUGAUAUUUGAAGUUUUGAAUUACAUAUCAAAACUUGCUAAUAAGAAAAACAUUUAUUUGGCAAACUUGACUGCUUUUGUUAAAUUUAGACACUAGGGAAGGGGACAGAAGGCCUCUUUGCAUGAGAUGCAUGUGAGACACUGUUUUGGAUUCUGCUCACUGAGUUUUUCCACUACUAUGUCAUCAUCAACCUACUUCUCUCA